AGACCCGAAACCCGGUGAUCUAGCCAUGGGCAGGUUGAAGGUUGGGUAACACUAACUGGAGGACCGAACCGACUAAUGUUGAAAAAUUAGCGGAUGACCUGUGGCUGGGGGUGAAAGGCCAAUCAAACCGGGAGAUAGCUGGUUCUCCCCGAAAGCUAUUUAGGUAGCGCCUCGUGAAUUCAUCUCCGGGGGUAGAGCACUGUUUCGGCUAGGGGGCCAUCCCGGCUUACCAACCCGAUGCAAACUGCGAAUACCGGAGAAUGUUAUCACGGGAGACACACGGCGGGUGCUAACGUCCGUCGUGAAGAGGGAAACAACCCAGACCGCCAGCUAAGGUCCCAAAGUCAUGGUUAAGUGGGAAACGAUGUGGGAAGGCCCAGACAGCCAGGAUGUUGGCUUAGAAGCAGCCAUCAUUUAAAGAAAGCGUAAUAGCUCACUGGUCGAGUCGGCCUGCGCGGAAGAUGUAACGGGGCUAAACCAUGCACCGAAGCUGCGGCAGCGAACGUAUCACCCAAGACAACUUUACGGAGUUGACGAUUGACGGAGCGAAGCGACGUCAAAGCGUUCAUUAAAGUCGAGUUGGCUUAGGGGUACGUUCGUUGGGUAGGGGAGCGUUCUGUAAGCCUGUGAAGGUGUGUCGUGAGGCAUGCUGGAGGUAUCAGAAGUGCGAAUGCUGACAUAAGUAACGAUAAAGCGGGUGAAAAGCCCGCUCGCCGGAAGACCAAGGGUUCCUGUCCAACGUUAAUCGGGGCAGGGUGAGUCGACCCCUAAGGCGAGGCCGAAAGGCGUAGUCGAUGGGAAACGGGUUAAUAUUCCCGUACUUGGUGUUACUGCGAAGGGGGGACGGAGAAGGCUAUGUUGGCCGGGCGACGGUUGUCCCGGUUUAAGCGUGUAGGUGUGUGUUCCAGGUAAAUCCGGUUCACUUUAACACUGAGGCGUGACGACGAGGCACUACGGUGCUGAAGCAACAAAUGCCCUGCUUCCAGGAAAAGCCUCUAAGCAUCAGGUAACAUCAAAUCGUACCCCAAACCGACACAGGUGGUCAGGUAGAGAAUACCAAGGCGCUUGAGAGAACUCGGGUGAAGGAACUAGGCAAAAUGGUGCCGUAACUUCGGGAG
RNAcentral lists this ribosomal RNA (1118 nucleotides) under Salmonella enterica. RNAcentral describes it as "partial 23S ribosomal RNA". It matches the Rfam family "Bacterial large subunit ribosomal RNA", at positions 711 to 1742 of the family's 2925-position model. Lineage: Bacteria; Pseudomonadati; Pseudomonadota; Gammaproteobacteria; Enterobacterales; Enterobacteriaceae. The record is from RNAcentral.